AGAUUGAACGCUGGCGGCAUGCCUAACACAUGCAAGUCGAACGGGAGUAGCAAUACUCUAGUGGCGGACGGGUGAGGAAUACGUAGGAAUUUGCCCUUAAGUGGGGGAUAACCCGGGGAAACCCGGAUUAAUACCGCAUGACCUCGAAAGAGCAAAGUGGGGGAUCGCAAGACCUCACGCUUUUGGAGAAGCCUACGUCGGAUUAGCUAGUUGGUGAGGUAAUGGCUCACCAAGGCGACGAUCCGUAACUGGUCUGAGAGGAUGAUCAGUCACAACCGGAACUGAGACACGGUCCGGACUCCGUACGGGAGGCAGCGA
Molecule: ribosomal RNA, 318 nt
Filed under: uncultured soil bacterium
Lineage: Bacteria
Description: bacterial SSU rRNA
Rfam family: Bacterial small subunit ribosomal RNA
Source: RNAcentral